GAUGAAGAACGCAGCGAAAUGCGAUACUUGGUGUGAAUUGCAGAAUCCCGUGAACCAUCGAGUUUUUGAACGCAAGUUGCGCCCGAAGCCGUUAGGCCGAGGGCACGCCUGCCUGGGCGUCACACGUCGUUGCCCCCCCAUCUACUCCUUCGGGAUUGCGGGGGGCGGAUGAUGGCCUCCCGUGCGCCUCGUCGCGCGGUUGGCCUAAAUGCCAAGUCCUCGGCGACGCACGCCACGACAAUCGGUGGUUGCGAAACCUCGGUUGCCCGUCGUGUGCGGUCGUCGCGCAUCGAGGGCUCGAAAAAAUUGCCGGGCUUCGGCUCGACUUUCAACGCGACCCCAGGUCAGGCGGGGUUACCCGCUGAAUUUAAGCAUAUCAAUAAGCGGAGGA
RNAcentral lists this unclassified non-coding RNA (391 nucleotides) under soil metagenome. RNAcentral describes it as "partial contains 5.8S ribosomal RNA, internal transcribed spacer 2, and large subunit ribosomal RNA". The stretch from base 1 to 122 matches the Rfam family "5.8S ribosomal RNA", at positions 35 to 154 of the family's 154-position model. The record is from RNAcentral.